AAACACUAAAAUUUACCGAUUUCAUUAACAGGGCGGACACUACCAGGCCACCUUUUCCGACCUUUGGUUGGUAGUGUUGUGCCCAACCCUUGCUGGAGACCCAGAAGUAAGGGCCACUAUUGACUUAAGCAAUGUUACCCAGGAUCGCAUACAAGCUGCUGUAGCAGAGGCUGAGGCGAGACUGGCCCUUACAACCGAAUCAAUAGACAGACAAAAUAGACGUGACCAGCAAGACAGAGAGUACGAAGAAGGGUUAAGAAGGGAUCAAGAGAGGG
Long non-coding RNA from Nematostella vectensis (starlet sea anemone), 275 nucleotides. RefSeq lists it as uncharacterized. The transcript is spliced from 3 exons. Lineage: Eukaryota; Metazoa; Cnidaria; Anthozoa; Actiniaria; Edwardsiidae. The record is from RefSeq and is a predicted model, not a curated record.